GGACUGAAUAUGGUGCUGGGGAGUAGCCUGUUUGCUGUGCUUGAUCACGAGCUGCUGCGAAGUUGUGACUUUCACUUUCCCUUUCGAAUUCCUGGGUAUGUCUGGGAGGCCGGAGGAUGUGUCUGGUUAUUACACAGACUCAUAACUGUAGGUGGGAUCCACACAGCUCAGAACAGCUGGAUCUUGCUCAGUCUCUGUCAGGGGAAGGUUCCUUGGAGGAGGCCCUGGAGCCCGAGACAUGGAGGGAGCCGCUUUGCUGAGACUCUUUGUCCUCUGCAUCUGGUGAGCUUGGCUCAGUGCCCUGAAGCAGGAGGGAGGGCUCCCUGUCUGUUCUGCACAACUGGGGAGGGCUUGGGCUGGGCCAGGGCCAUCUGGGCUUCUUCUAGGAACCAAAGUCACUUCCCGGAAUAG
RNAcentral lists this long non-coding RNA (411 nucleotides) under Piliocolobus tephrosceles (Ugandan red Colobus). RNAcentral describes it as "lncRNA (ENSPTEG00000019322.1)". The record is from RNAcentral. Lineage: Eukaryota; Metazoa; Chordata; Mammalia; Primates; Cercopithecidae.